CCUAACCCCUCUUUCCCUCCUCUCUCUCUCUCUCUCGGGAACCCUAGCGCUCCACUCCUCCCUUGCCGCCGCCACCUCCGGCGGUAAUCGAAGACCAUAUCCGGUGAGAUCUGGCGCGCGCAGCGAGAUCCAUCUCUCUCUCACACACGAGAAGGAAAUCCCCGCCCCAUUCCCACGACUCAUCUGCCUCUCCCUCGAUCCCCUUCCUUCCUGAGGACGCACGCGCCGCCGCCUCCCCGAUCCCCUUCUCCCCUCGCCCCCCCACAUCAAGCCGCCAUCCACCUCGUCGCCUCCCUGAUUCAUCCUCCUCCUCCUCCUAUUCCCCUUAUCAGAUCCAUCCAUCCAUUCAUUUUUCCAUCAGAUCCACCUGACGCCAUCGCAUCCCCUUCUCGCUUGCAGGGUUGCAGGCGAUUCGAUCUGGUCUGGGUCCAUGGCGUCCAAGGCCGUGGCGGCGCUACUGGUGACGGACGAGCUGGCCCUGCCGCUCCGCGCGGUGGGGGACGGCAGCGGGGAAGCACGCAGCUGCGCAGCGACCGCGUGAGGUUUCAGUGAGCGGCCGCAUUGCUGCGGCAGGAGGACCAACGCGCGCUUCCGGCGACGAGGCUCCAUCGCGCGAACCAAGACACGGACUCGACAGGAUGGCUCUGCGGGACUCCAGUGUCAGAAGCAGUGGUUGGGGCUACGCGGUGACCCCAGGACGCCGCUGCCCGAUUCCGGCGCGAAGGCAACCUCGCGCAAAUCAUGGCGGCCUUGACCAACAAGGAGGGGUCCGUGCCGCGCGGCGACCGGUGGUGAGCGUCGGUGCUGGCGAGUUUGGGUCAGUACGUCGCGACGGCGGCGAGCCUGCUCGGCGGCCCAUGAUUGGACCUUGGAGCCGCGCGAAGAGAAGGGGAUCCACUCCAAACCCAGGAUAGGCAACAUGGUGACUCUAGUGCUGACAUCUCCCGGUCGCGGCGCGUGUGAUCUGACUGUGUUGGGUUGGUGUCUAGUUGCAGGACAAGGUGGCGAACUCACUGUUUGAGAAGACGUCGAACCAGUUAGGCAUCGGCUGCGCGCUACCGCCCAAGAAGGACCUCCACCUGUUCGCCAGCGCCGCAUACUCAAGCAGCGCAUCCGUGCCCAGCCGCGGUUGUUUUUGCCCAUUUAUGUUGUUGCUUUAGUAGCAUUCUUUCCUUUCUUUUAUGUAGCAGCAGAGCACCACUCUUACUAUGCACUUCGCUCCAGAUUCUGCUACAAUUACAAAUUUAAAAUGCAUUCAUGCAUGAGCAGUGCAUGUGUUGGCUGUCCAUGAGAUCAUGAAUAGUAUGAGCCUUAGAGUCUUGUUCGAACUCAUUGAUGCAACAGAACUCAUUUGGAGAGCUACCUACUCAUUUGGAUGUAAUAUCAUGCUUGCUCUUUUGAAAUCGAUAAUGAUGCUCUAAAUGUUAGUCAUAUUUCCAUUGUGGAUUAGCUUCUGCCCCUCAAAUGCUAUUCACAAGUUGCAUCCCUUGACUCUGUAUUCAUGAGUAGUAUACAACCUGAGAUGUCCGAUUGUAUACAAACUGCACCUCGAAAUUGAUAUUUUCUAGUCUGUUUCUUUGAUUGUAAAUGUUUCUUCACUAUAAAUCUUCUAUCUGUGAUAAGUGCAACUAGAAGAAUGUGUCCCAUCUAAAAUUAUGUAAUCCCUAUUAGCUGAAACUUGAGCAUUACAAAGUUUCAUUUCUAAGUCUAGUUUGUUGAUAAGCCAUCCUCCUCCUCUUUUGGGAUUUAUCGUGCAUACACAACACUUCAUGAAAAUAAACUACAUGCGAUAUACUCAAAUAGCACUAGGGUCUGAGACUAUUUUAUGGUGUUGUGGAUAUACUUUGUGAUUUACUAUUAUUGAUCUGCGCUUUGGUGUCAUAUUAUGGUAUAAUAUAUUUUGUUUUGGCUCUUUCUCUGUUGCCAGGAAAGUGGUGAGGAGAUGUUGAUGAUGCCUACUUGCUUGGCUGCUACGGUGAUGCAUGCACCGAUGAAGCAAGCACACAUGCAAGGCUGGCCCCAUGUAUCUUCCUUGGCUGCGAACAUCAUCUACAGGAUAGCAAUAUGACCAGGACAAGCUACAAGCUCCCAGCGCGUCUGAUCCAGGGUGAAUGGCCAUGGUCACGAGCUCCUCAGAAUCAAAAUAGGAUGGCAAGUUGUGGAAGCUGGAGCAUGUCGCAUAAGAGAGAGCAAUGAAAUCCAUUGUACUGUUCCGUUAAAAAAAGUACAUUGUGCUGUUAUGAUAGUAGCAGAUUUGCCAUCUUUCUUAUUGUAUAGUCCUGUGUAAGGAAAUGUAUUCCUGAGAUGAUUUUUGUGUUAUGUAAACCUGGGAGAUAUUUUCUUUUUGUGUUAUGUAAACCUGGGAGUUUUCCUAAUUUGAAUGAAAUAAUGUUGGAUGUAU
Triticum dicoccoides is the source of this 2401-nucleotide long non-coding RNA. RefSeq lists it as uncharacterized. The transcript is spliced from 4 exons. The record is from RefSeq and is a predicted model, not a curated record. NCBI's taxonomy places the organism in Eukaryota, Viridiplantae, Streptophyta, Magnoliopsida, Poales, Poaceae.